RNAcentral lists this long non-coding RNA (321 nucleotides) under Mytilus galloprovincialis (Mediterranean mussel). The record is from RNAcentral. Lineage: Eukaryota; Metazoa; Mollusca; Bivalvia; Mytilida; Mytilidae.
GAAAUAUUUACACAAGUGAACAUACACUGAACGAAUAAAUUUGAUCUAUAUAAUGACAAUGUAAAUACAAAAUCAUUAAAAUAAGGGAUUUGUUUGCAUCUGUCUCAAGUCAGGAACCUGAUGUACAGUAGUUGUUGUUUGUUGAUGUGGUUGAUGAGUUUUUUUCAUUUCUCGUUUUCAUAAGAUAAGAUUUGUUUUUCCCAUUUAAAUGGUUAUACACUUAGUCUAGUUUGGGCCCCUUUAUAGCUUGCUGUUCAGUGUGAGCCAAGGCUCUGUGUUGUCAUUUUAGAAAUACAGCAUAAUAUUGGUACAACCUCCAAG